RNAcentral lists this ribosomal RNA (427 nucleotides) under uncultured Bdellovibrio sp. RNAcentral describes it as "bacterial SSU rRNA". It matches the Rfam family "Bacterial small subunit ribosomal RNA", at positions 355 to 797 of the family's 1533-position model. The record is from RNAcentral. Lineage: Bacteria; Pseudomonadati; Bdellovibrionota; Bdellovibrionia; Bdellovibrionales; Pseudobdellovibrionaceae.
UAGGGAAUAUUGCACAAUGGAGGAAACUCUGAUGCAGCGACGCCGCGUGAGUGACGAAGGACUUCGGUUCGUAAAGCUCUGUUGCAAGGGAAUAAAAAAUGAAGGUACUUUGCGAGAAAGGGUCGGCUAACUUCGUGCCAGCAGCCGCGGUAAGACGAGGGACCCUAGCGUUGUUCGGAAUCAUUGGGCGUAAAGCGGGUGUAGGUGGCUUUGUAAGUCAGGUGUGAAAGCCCGGGGCUUAACCUCGGAAGUGCAUCUGAUACUGCGAAGCUUGAGUGCUGGAGAGGUUACUAGAAUUCCUGGUGUAGUGGUGAAAUACGUAGAUAUCAGGAGGAAUACCGGAGGCGAAGGCGGGUAACUGGCCAGACACUGACACUCAGACCCGAAAGCGUGGGGAUCAAACAGGAUUAGAUACCCACGUAGUCCC